UACGGAGGGUGCAAGCGUUGUCCGGAAUUAUUGGGCGUAAAGAGCUCGUAGGCGGUUUGUCGCGUCUGCUGUGAAAACUCGGGGCUUAACCCCGGGCCUGCAGUGGGUACGGGCAGACUAGAGUGCGGUAGGGGAGACUGGAAUUCCUGGUGUAGCGGUGAAAUGCGCAGAUAUCAGGAGGAACACCGGUGGCGAAGGCGGGUCUCUGGGCAGUAACUGACGCUGAGGAGCGAAAGCGUGGGGAGCGAACAGG
This 253-nucleotide ribosomal RNA is filed under the name uncultured bacterium. RNAcentral describes it as "partial 16S ribosomal RNA". It matches the Rfam family "Bacterial small subunit ribosomal RNA", at positions 524 to 776 of the family's 1533-position model. The record is from RNAcentral.